Long non-coding RNA from Xyrauchen texanus (razorback sucker), 2199 nucleotides. RefSeq lists it as uncharacterized. The record is from RefSeq and is a predicted model, not a curated record. The transcript has 4 exons. NCBI's taxonomy places the organism in Eukaryota, Metazoa, Chordata, Actinopteri, Cypriniformes, Catostomidae.
GUUAAAAAUUAGGGGAAGGUGUAGGGUUUCUGUAGGUCUCUAAAUAAACACAGUAGGUUCGUUUGAAAUAAGCAAGUUCAGUGCAGAACCGAUCACCAGCAGAUCUAUGCCGGUGUCGUGAGCAAUCCAGUACCCCCUGAAAAGGAGACAUAUCCAGCUGCAGACCCGCAGCACCACCAGUUUCAGAACCCCAGCGCCAGAACCUGAAGUGAGGGGCGGAGUUAUUGACAAUGAGACAAGCAUGGCGGAGAGCAUGAGACAUUUCGAAUGAAUGAAGACCACAAGGAAAAGGCCCGCAACAAUCUCCUGGAACAGUCAGAAGCUUCCAGAGAGCCCUUGUUCUGACGAUUUGUGCUACCCAUCGAUAUGUGCAACUUACUGGUUAUGCGCAUGUGCAGACUCACAGUUUUGUUCUGCGUGACCACGCCCAUAAAUCUAUGCAUCCUUGCUGUGGAGACUUGACGAGUUUUGAAAGUUUGGAAAACUAAACCCACUGUUUCUAGGGAAUGCAGAUGAUUACUGCGUUGUAUGCUCCUUGCUUGAAAAAGAUGCAGAUCAGAGCAUGAUUGAAAUGGUGCAGUGUGAUUUGUGCUGUAGGUGGGCACAUUUUCAAUGUGCCAAAUAUGAAAAAGAUAGUUGUGCAACAUAUACAUGCAAAAAGUGCCAGAGUGUGUGAAAUGUGUACAAAGUAGGUAGCAGCACUUGACACGUAAGUAAUCAGAAUGUGCUAAUGUUCAUGUAGUGUGAUAUGGCGUGAGGCUUUAAAAUAAAUAAAUACAUUUUAUUUGGAGUACUUUCAUCAUUUAUUUAGUUUAAAAAAACUGGGAGCAUUAUUUGAUAGGGCACGUUGGUCUAUCAAAAUAUGCAACUCCUGACAUCUUAAAGGCAUAAUUACAAAAUAUCUCAACAUACUCUCCAUAUUCAUAAGGUGCAUAUGGAGUGAGUAGUGAUGUAAAAUAAAGUGAAUUUGCACUGGGAGCAUUAUUUGAUAGGGCACGUUGGUCUAUCAAAAUAUGCAACUCCUUACAUCUUGAAGACAUUAUUAUGUAGUAUUGUUUUUUCUAAUGACAGUGAACAUAAGGUAAAUAUUCAUGUGUCAAAAAAUGCUAACUACCAUAUGAAUAUUUGUACGGUCAGCCAGCUGAACAAGAAUAACUGAAAGUUUCAGUUAGGAAAGGUGUGCUUUGACAGGUCAAAAAUGAAUAUUUUAUGAUAAUUUUUACUUUUCACACAGUUUUAAAAAUAAAAACAGUACAGUAUACAGUACUCAUAACUUAUAAUUUUAUUAUAAUUGUAUUUCAUAUAAUAUACAAUAAUGUCAUUUUUACUUGUUAUAUCAAAUUUGAUAAUUGCUGGUUCAUUUAAAAUAUAAAAAUAUGCUCCCCAUACACUUACCCUGUUUUAAAUGAAAUAACGAUGUCUUAAUAUUGUGAGAUUUACAUCAUUAUGGAAACAGUAGCUAGAGAAUGAAUCGACAUUCUCUGUGAUCGAUUCGCGCUUGGGUAGCAUUUUUCGACAAGGCAGCACAAAUCGUCAGACUCUGCUAUCGAUUCGCGCUACGGUAGCAUUUUUCGACAAGGCAGCACAAAUCGUCAGACUCUGCUAUCGAUUCGCGCUACGGUAGCAUUUUUCGACAAGGCAGCACAAAUCGUCAGAACACCCUUUCUAUUUCAUUUUGUGUUCAGGGAUGACAUGGAGUUAUUUUAGCAAGAAUGUAAGGACAAAAUGGGCCUGAGAGUGAAUUCCUCAUUUGAUACAUUUUAAGUUUAAUUUAUACAGGAUUGUCAUGAUAAAAUGGGCCUAGGGGUGAAUUGGUCAUUUGUUGUAUAUAUUUUUAUUGUUUCUUUUAAAAUUAUGCUGAAUUUUCUCUCUUUUUUUUAGUUUUUUGACAUGUUUUAUUUUACAUAAAGAAAAAUGCAUGCUGCACAUGUUCUUGUGAAAUAAAGUAUAUUUUAUAUAAAAUGCCCAUAAGUUUCAAGCAUUUUUUUUCACCAUCAUGAUCAGGAAGUAACUCUCAUAAUACAAUGAAACGGAUAACUAUAUACAAUUAUAUUACACAAGAUCAAUGUUUUAAAGUGCUUAUUGUACUGUACCUUAAAGAAUCAUUAUAACAUACGUAUAAAGUAUGGUGUUUCGUUUGUAAUAAAAGCAAAGUACUCUCCAAAACGUUAGGUGGCGCUACUCGGUUUCGAACGUAAG